CCCUUGUUAUGUUCCGGAGAAGGAGCCUGAGAAAUAGCUCCCACGUCCAAGGAUGGCAGCAGGCGCGAAACUUACCCAAUUCCUACAGGGAGAGGUAGUGAAGAGACGUGUUUAUAAUGAGGCUACAUUGCAAAAAGAUGAGUGCCCGAUUGGAGGGCAAGUCUGGUGCCAGCAGCCGCGGUAAUUCCAGCUCCAAUAGCGCAUAUGAUAGUUGCUGCAGUUAAAACGUCCGUAGUUGGCCACACUAUUACUGUGAGGAAAUUAUGUUUCUCAAAGACUAGUAUUAUAGCAUGGAAUAAUGUGGAGAAAGGAACAGAUGAUGGCAAUAGUAUUGAAUAGCGAGGGGUGAAAACCGAUGACCUAUUGAGGACUACCGGAGGCGAAGGCGAUUGUCAAGUAUGUAUCCGUUAAUCAAGGACUUAAGCUGGAGGAUCGAAGAUGAUUAGAUACCGUCGUAGUUCCAGCUGUAAACGAUGCCGACUAUAUGGUAGAGACUCUACCGUAUAAGGAGAAAUCAAAGUGUAUAGGCUCUGGGGAUAGUAUUAAUGCAAAUUAGAAACUUAAAGAAAUUGACGGAAGGACACCACAAGGAGUGGAUUGUGCGGCUUAAUUUGACUCAACGCGGGACAACUUACCAGGGCCGAAUGUGUAGGAGAAUGGCGACCCGAGAGGAUCCCCAUGAUUAUGCAGGAGGUGGUGCAUGGCCGUUUUCAACACGUGGGGUGACCUGUCAGGUUAAAUCCUUUAACGCGUGAGGCUGUGAAGUUUAUAUGUAAAUUGACGGAUGGCGGCAAGCCAUAGGAAGCACGGCGAUAACAGGUCAGUGAUGCCCCUAGACGUUCUGGGCUGCACGCGCAAUACAAUGGGAUGGAGAAUUUAGUAUGCUGAGAAGUAUAGAAGUAAUUCAUUCCGAAGCAGGGAUAAGCUUUUGUAAAUAAGUUUUGAACGAGGAAUUCCUAGUAAUCGCAAGUCACUAAGUUGCGAUGAAUGAGUCCCCUGUUCUUUGUACACACCGCCCGUCAUUAUA
This 1027-nucleotide ribosomal RNA is filed under the name Trichonosema algonquinensis. RNAcentral describes it as "bacterial SSU rRNA". It matches the Rfam family "Microsporidia small subunit ribosomal RNA", at positions 229 to 1206 of the family's 1311-position model. Lineage: Eukaryota; Fungi; Microsporidia; Pseudonosematidae. The record is from RNAcentral.